RNAcentral lists this ribosomal RNA (920 nucleotides) under Alcanivorax sp. SA13. RNAcentral's name for it is "bacterial SSU rRNA". It matches the Rfam family "Bacterial small subunit ribosomal RNA", at positions 56 to 968 of the family's 1533-position model. Lineage: Bacteria; Pseudomonadati; Pseudomonadota; Gammaproteobacteria; Oceanospirillales; Alcanivoracaceae. The record is from RNAcentral.
UGCAGUCGAGCGGAACGAUGGGAGCUUGCUCCCAGGCGUCGAGCGGCGGACGGGUGAGUAACACGUGGGAAUCUGCCCAUUAGUGGGGGAUAACUCGGGGAAACUCGAGCUAAUACCGCAUAAUCCCUACGGGGGAAAGCAGGGGAUCUUCGGACCUUGCGCUGAUGGAUGAGCCCGCGUCGGAUUAGCUUGUUGGUGGGGUAAUGGCCCACCAAGGCGACGAUCCGUAACUGGUCUGAGAGGAUGGCCAGUCACACCGGGACUGAGACACGGCCCGGACUCCUACGGGAGGCAGCAGUGGGGAAUCUUGGACAAUGGGCGCAAGCCUGAUCCAGCCAUGCCGCGUGUGUGAAGAAGGCCUUCGGGUUGUAAAGCACUUUCAGUAGGGAGGAAGGCUUUGGGCUAAUACCCUGGAGUACUUGACGUUACCUACAGAAGAAGCACCGGCUAAUUUCGUGCCAGCAGCCGCGGUAAUACGAAAGGUGCGAGCGUUAAUCGGAAUUACUGGGCGUAAAGCGCGCGUAGGCGGUGUGUUAAGUCGGAUGUGAAAGCCCAGGGCUCAACCUUGGAAUUGCAUCCGAUACUGGCACGCUAGAGUGCAGUAGAGGGAGGUGGAAUUUCCGGUGUAGCGGUGAAAUGCGUAGAGAUCGGAAGGAACACCAGUGGCGAAGGCGGCCUCCUGGACUGACACUGACGCUGAGGUGCGAAAGCGUGGGGAGCAAACAGGAUUAGAUACCCUGGUAGUCCACGCCGUAAACGAUGUCUACUAGCCGUUGGGGUCCUUAGUGACUUUGGUGGCGCAGCUAACGCGAUAAGUAGACCGCCUGGGGAGUACGGCCGCAAGGUUAAAACUCAAAUGAAUUGACGGGGGCCCGCACAAGCGGUGGAGCAUGUGGUUUAAUUCGAUGCAACGCGAAGAA